UUAAGCGACUAAGCGUACACGGUGGAUGCCCUGGCAGUCAGAGGCGAUGAAGGACGUGCUAAUCUGCGAAAAGCGUCGGUAAGGUGAUAUGAACCGUUAUAACCGGCGAUGUCCGAAUGGGGAAACCCAGUGCAAUUCGUUGCACUAUCGUUAACUGAAUACAUAGGUUAACGAGGCGAACCGGGGGAACUGAAACAUCUAAGUACCCCGAGGAAAAGAAAUCAACCGAGAUUCCCCCAGUAGCGGCGAGCGAACGGGGAGCAGCCCAGAGUCUGAAUCAGCUUGUGUGUUAGUGGAACGGUCUGGAAAGUCCGACGGUACAGGGUGAUAGUCCCGUACACCAAAAUGCACAGGUUGUGAACUCGAAGAGUAGGGCGGGACACGUGGUAUCCUGUCUGAAUAUGGGGGACCAUCCUCCAAGGCUAAAUACUCCUGACUGACCGAUAGUGAACCAGUACCGUGAGGGAAAGGCGAAAAGAACCCCGGCGAGGGGAGUGAAAAAGAACCUGAAACCGUGUACGUACAAGCAGUGGGAGCACCUUCGGGUGUGACUGCGUACCUUUUGUAUAAUGGGUCAGCGACUUAUAUUCUGUAGCAAGGUUAACCGUAUAGGGGAGCCGCAGGGAAACCGAGUCUUAACUGGGCGUUAAGUUGCAGGGUAUAGACCCGAAACCCGGUGAUCUAGCCAUGGGCAGGUUGAAGGUUGGGUAACACUAACUGGAGGACCGAACCGACUAAUGUUGAAAAAUUAGCGGAUGACUUGUGGCUGGGGGUGAAAGGCCAAUCAAACCGGGAGAUAGCUGGUUCUCCCCGAAAGCUAUUUAGGUAGCGCCUCGUGAAUUCAUCUUCGGGGGUAGAGCACUGUUUCGGCUAGGGGGUCAUCCCGACUUACCAACCCGAUGCAAACUACGAAUACCGAAGAAUGUUAUCACGGGAGACACACGGCGGGUGCUAACGUCCGUCGUGAAGAGGGAAACAACCCAGACCGCCAGCUAAGGUCCCAAAGUCAUGGUUAAGUGGGAAACGAUGUGGGAAGGCACAGACAGCCAGGAUGUUGGCUUAGAAGCAGCCAUCAUUUAAAGAAAGCGUAAUAGCUCACUGGUCGAGUCGGCCUGCGCGGAAGAUGUAACGGGGCUAAACCAUGCACCGAAGCUGCGGCAGCGACACUAUGUGUUGUUGGGUAGGGGAGCGUUCUGUAAGCCUGCGAAGGUGGCCUGUGAGGGUUGCUGGAGGUAUCAGAAGUGCGAAUGCUGACAUAAGUAACGAUAAAGCGGGUGAAAAGCCCGCUCGCCGGAAGACCAAGGGUUCCUGUCCAACGUUAAUCGGGGCAGGGUGAGUCGACCCCUAAGGCGAGGCCGAAAGGCGUAGUCGAUGGGAAACAGGUUAAUAUUCCUGUACUUGGUGUUACUGCGAAGGGGGGACGGAGAAGGCUAUGUUAGCCGGGCGACGGUUGUCCCGGUUUAAGCAUGUAGGCUGGUUAUCCAGGCAAAUCCGGAUAAUCAAGGCUGAGGUGUGAUGACGAGGCACUACGGUGCUGAAGUAACAAAUGCCCUGCUUCCAGGAAAAGCCUCUAAGCAUCAGGUAACAUUAAAUCGUACCCCAAACCGACACAGGUGGUCAGGUAGAGAAUACCAAGGCGCUUGAGAGAACUCGGGUGAAGGAACUAGGCAAAAUGGUGCCGUAACUUCGGGAGAAGGCACGCUGGUGUGUAGGUGAAGUCCCUGCGGAUGGAGCUGAGACCAGUCGAAGAUACCAGCUGGCUGCAACUGUUUAUUAAAAACACAGCACUGUGCAAACACGAAAGUGGACGUAUACGGUGUGACGCCUGCCCGGUGCCGGAAGGUUAAUUGAUGGGGUUAUCCGUAAGGAGAAGCUCUUGAUCGAAGCCCCGGUAAACGGCGGCCGUAACUAUAACGGUCCUAAGGUAGCGAAAUUCCUUGUCGGGUAAGUUCCGACCUGCACGAAUGGCGUAAUGAUGGCCAGGCUGUCUCCACCCGAGACUCAGUGAAAUUGAACUCGCUGUGAAGAUGCAGUGUACCCGCGGCAAGACGGAAAGACCCCGUGAACCUUUACUAUAGCUUGACACUGAACAUUGAGCCUUGAUGUGUAGGAUAGGUGGGAGGCUUUGAAGCGUGGACGCCAGUCUGCGUGGAGCCAACCUUGAAAUACCACCCUUUAAUGUUUGAUGUUCUAACGUUGGCCCCUGACCGGGGUUGCGGACAGUGUCUGGUGGGUAGUUUGACUGGGGCGGUCUCCUCCCAAAGCGUAACGGAGGAGCACGAAGGUUAGCUAAUCCUGGUCGGACAUCAGGAGGUUAGUGCAAUGGCAUAAGCUAGCUUGACUGCGAGCGUGACGGCGCGAGCAGGUGCGAAAGCAGGUCAUAGUGAUCCGGUGGUUCUGAAUGGAAGGGCCAUCGCUCAACGGAUAAAAGGUACUCCGGGGAUAACAGGCUGAUACCGCCCAAGAGUUCAUAUCGACGGCGGUGUUUGGCACCUCGAUGUCGGCUCAUCACAUCCUGGGGCUGAAGUAGGUCCCAAGGGUAUGGCUGUUCGCCAUUUAAAGUGGUACGCGAGCUGGGUUUAGAACGUCGUGAGACAGUUCGGUCCCUAUCUGCCGUGGGCGCUGGAGAAUUGAGGGGGGCUGCUCCUAGUACGAGAGGACCGGAGUGGACGCAUCACUGGUGUUCGGGUUGUCAUGCCAAUGGCACUGCCCGGUAGCUAAAUGCGGAAGAGAUAAGUGCUGAAAGCAUCUAAGCACGAAACUUGCCCCGAGAUGAGUUCUCCCUGAGACUUUAAGUCUCCUGAAGGAACGUUAAAGACGAUGACGUUGAUAGGCCGGGUGUGUAAGCGCAGCGAUGCGUUGAGCUAACCGGUACUAAUGAACCGUGAGGCUUAACCUU
RNAcentral lists this ribosomal RNA (2899 nucleotides) under Klebsiella pneumoniae. RNAcentral describes it as "23S ribosomal RNA". It matches the Rfam family "Bacterial large subunit ribosomal RNA". The record is from RNAcentral. Lineage: Bacteria; Pseudomonadati; Pseudomonadota; Gammaproteobacteria; Enterobacterales; Enterobacteriaceae.